Non-coding RNA from Kogia breviceps (pygmy sperm whale), 1767 nucleotides. The record is from RefSeq and is a predicted model, not a curated record. Lineage: Eukaryota; Metazoa; Chordata; Mammalia; Artiodactyla; Physeteridae.
AAAAGAUACAUUGCCAGAAGACCCUACUCUAAAAGAACUGCUAAAUGAAGUUCUUUGAACAGAAGGAGAUGCACAAAGAAAUAAAGAGAUCUGGAAAUGGAAUAAAUGAAGUGCAGCCCCCUCCACUGCUCUGGCUGCAUCUCGGGCCACUCCCCUUGGGCCCCACCACCUCAAGGAGCAAGCCCACCUUUUCCUCCACCGCUGGCACCACAUGACACAGAACCUACAUCCUGUGGGCAUCUGCUCGAUGACCUCGUGCUGAGUUCGCCUCGGUCAUUUCUUACUGCCCCAGUAUGUUUGAUUCCCAGUACUCCUGCCACACUGCCGGAAAAUGGAAUGAACUUUGAGUCAUUUAGAAGAGAACAAGGAGCUAUUUGGAAAAAGCCAAGCCUCUACACAAGCCAACUCAAAGCAUGAACUUUUCUAGGGACCCUUUGGACAGACUGACUCCCAUUACUGAAAUCCCUGUCAUGCCAACAUUUCAGGUAACAGCCUUUUCUGCAACAUUUCAUGAAUAAGCACUCUUUUCCCUUUUGUCUUUUAUAAAAUUUGAUUCUUUCAUCCACUGAUGACUUCUGCUCUCUUUUGAUACCUUUUAAAUUGUUUUAUCUGUUUAACAGGAUAUGGAGGAAAGAUAAACUUGUGUUUAACUGCAAAAGAAAACCUUGAUUUUCCCAAUGAAAAUUUUGAUGCUGACAAGUUACCUUUCAGAAAUACUGUACAAAUUCAUAUACCCUUAUAUCAGUACAUAGAAGUAUCUCCUCUCCUAUGGUUUUGCAAUGCAAAUUUUAUCAAUCUGAUAUUGAAAGAUGGUAGUUCAUUUGUUUAACUUGUGUUCUGAUCCUUGUGAGAUUCAGUACUUACCACUUUCAUCAGUCACCUGUUGCCUCUUUAUACCCUUUUGCCCGUGAGGGGAGGAGGUGUCAUUUUUCUAAAUGACUUGUAGGAGCACUUUUAUGUUAAGGAUACGAACUUCAUAAGUUAAACAUAUUUUAAUGAUUUUUUCCAAUUCUAAUGUUUAAAAACCUUUCGUUUGUACUGUCUUUGACUAUAUAAAAGCUUAUUAAAGUCCUUAUAUAGUCAAACCUAGAAUCAUUGUGUGUGUGGCUUCUGGAUCUCAUGUCGUAUUUAGGAAGACUGUUCCCCAUGAUUAUAAAGUAUGUUAUGGUGUCUUCUAAUGACUCUGUUUUGCAUCUGGAUAAAAGAAUGAGGUGAUUGUUUUGUACAGAAAUAAUUUUUUUGAGCAGAAUCUCAUUUACCAAUACUGUUAAGCCACUGACAUGAAAUAUCACCUUUAUUAUAUAUUUCCUUUAUGUGUGUAUGUUGUGAAUGUGUAUGUGUGUAUGUUGACAAACACAAUGUUUCAAGCCUUAAGAAAGUCUUAUUUUGUCAGGUACAAAGAAUCUGUAGAUUAAUUUGCGGCCUACUAACAAAUCUACAGAUUAAUUUGGGGCCUACUAACAUCUGUAGAAUACUGAGUCUUCCCCUACAGAAGGAUAAAAUGUCUAUUCUUUUAAUCCUCCAUUAAACUUUAGUCAUUUUGUUUGUACUUAUGUUCACAAGAGAACUGGUUACUGCAUUGAUUGCAUGCUCAAAGCCUUCAGGAGUCAGGAAGUAAUAUAAAGUGUAAAACAAGUCAGAUGUAAGGGAACAGGUAGUGGUUUGAACUGUGGAGAACUGGAAAACACAUGCCCAUCUAAAGGUAUUCAUAUUCAUUUGAAACUUGAUGCAUAUCAAAUCAAACAUGUUGAUGAGUUUUGACCUAUA